Non-coding RNA from Coffea arabica (coffee), 112 nucleotides. NCBI's taxonomy places the organism in Eukaryota, Viridiplantae, Streptophyta, Magnoliopsida, Gentianales, Rubiaceae. The record is from RefSeq and is a predicted model, not a curated record.
AAGAGGACUUCGAGGGAACUCCCGGCGAAGCGUCUUAGAGCUAAUUUCUCAAACUUUGACUUUUGAUACUUGGUUUGGAAGUGGAAGUUCUGAGGCUUAAUUAGUGACCCCC